Long non-coding RNA from Cydia strobilella, 288 nucleotides. RefSeq lists it as uncharacterized. The record is from RefSeq and is a predicted model, not a curated record. The transcript has 3 exons. Lineage: Eukaryota; Metazoa; Arthropoda; Insecta; Lepidoptera; Tortricidae.
AGUGUAGGGCUAAGAUGGUCGGUUUUUUAUCAUCUGUCAUCAUGCCUGUCACGUUCUAACAAGUAUGUAAGUGCGAAAGUGACGCAUAACAUGACAAGUGAUAAAAAUGCGACCAUGAUACCGCCGCAGGGAUAGUACGAUUUAUCGACCACAUACGCGCCAAUAUUAUUUCAACUUUAAUAUUCCGAUUUAAGGUUCAAAUUAAAUUGCACUUUCGUUAAAUUUGACUUGUCUUCAAAUGAAUCAUCAAAGCUGGAUUAUUUGGAAUAUAUUUAGAUUUUUGGGAAA